Molecule: non-coding RNA, 195 nt
Organism: Hydra vulgaris (swiftwater hydra)
Lineage: Eukaryota; Metazoa; Cnidaria; Hydrozoa; Anthoathecata; Hydridae
Source: RefSeq, a predicted model, not a curated record
CAGUAUUCGAGAGCGAUCGCUCCCGCUUCCCGACCAAGCCUGGAAUAUUUUCCAACAACUUUGUGACCUCCAUGAUUAUAAAGGGGAAAUGUGGAAAUAUGCUUUAAGAGCACUAAUUUAUAAAAUGUAGUGAAAGUUCAUGUAAUUUUUUCAAAAUCGAAUAUGCGGAAAGGAGCUAUUUGGAAUGAAGAUUUA